This 826-nucleotide long non-coding RNA is filed under the name Carica papaya (papaya). Its description in RNAcentral is "long non-coding RNA (CPAP_LNC012920)". Lineage: Eukaryota; Viridiplantae; Streptophyta; Magnoliopsida; Brassicales; Caricaceae. The record is from RNAcentral.
UAGCAAAGACAAGUUUCAAACAGAUGAUGAUUGACAUGCAUCAAUUAUAAAUUCUCCACAUCUUCACCUUCAAGCCCCAGAAAUGACCAUGAGCUUUUUUAUACCUGCAGCAAUGAAGAGAAAACAGAGUACUCCACUUUGUUUCAUCUUCUUUGGAAUUCUUCUUCUUCUUCUUCUUCUGGCUCGUCCAUCAUACCGCUACUCCCCAUCCAUGACAGGUCAAGCAGGUGCAAGUAAAUGUAUAUAUUUAUGUCUGUAUGUGUGUGUACAUAUAUGUUGUGUGUGUGUGUACCUAUCUAAUCUACUUCAACUUUUUUGUUACCAAAAAGAAACAUCAUCUGAUUUUUUGUUGAUGUACUUUUCGUAGUUGAUGUCAAACUUAAAGCUGCAGAAAGCAGAACAAGCUUAGCUACUUGGGGGAUUGAGGUAACUAUAAUGUUACUUCUGUUCUAUGUACACAGAUAGACGUACAUAUAUAUCAUCUCGUUAUAGUUUGAUACACAUAUAGAUAUGAUUUACUGAUGGGCGGUUUGUUUUAAUGGAAAAUAAGAGCAAAUAUGGGAGGCGUUUGAAGCUAAAUAAUAAGAAGGAAGGAUCAGGACCCAAUCCGAAAGGGAACAAGAACCCACCAUCAAAGCCAUGACACGCUUCAUUUUGUACUAUUCUUUUUUUGGGGUAGAGAAGAUGAUGUUGGUUAUGCUGCUCUUUUGGGAUAUUAAUCAAAUUUCAGUUCAAAUUCUUGGCAGAUGCACUAUAAUAUUAUAUAUUUAAAUAGAUUCAGUGGCAUAUAAUCUCUUUCUUAAUUAAAUUAAUAGAUAUAUAGACG